CUCUGAAUUUUCCUCUCUCUCUCUCUCUCUCGACUUCUCCCGCUAUCUCCAGGGGUUUUACUGGAUCCACGCGCGCCAAUGGAGACGUCUCACAGAUUGUACAAAGAAAAUCCGGUAGCCAUAACCUGGAGGCAUUCUGAACCGAUUACUAUGAGGCAACUUAUGCAGUUGUGAGAUGAAUUCUGGAAUACUGCUUCUCAAUGUGGUGGUAGGAAAGUGCUCACUCCUGUUGAGAUUUAUGAAGGGUUGAUUUCCUGACGCAAAUGUGGUGAUUUAGUUGAAAAAUGGGAGCGUGUGCUUGCAAAUGUGCGUGCCACUGUUAUCAACUGGAUGUGCAAUGUUUGGCUAUGAAUUUUACAGGGUUUACCAUUUUUUGAGAGGGGAAAGUUAUGAUGGGCGCAGGAGAUCUGUGAAUAAUGAUAAAAUAUGUAACAGUAGAUGUAGAGAUUUUGCUUAUGAGAGUGAAUGGAUAAUAUUGUAAGAAAUCUUCCAGCAUUGUCAUAAUGUCUCACCUCAAUGAAGAAAGCAAUUAUCUACUAGUUAGUAUGAACAUUGAUUAAGAGCUAAAUUAACUCUCAGGAUAGUGAUACUGUAGCAUUUUCCUUUGAUGAUAUGGCACUGAAUUUACUGCAACACUAGAACUUAAAAGAGAUCUCAAAAAGUGACUAAAGCAGUAUUAUGAGACUCAACUCUUUGGAUGAUGAUAAAAAUUGUUCGCUGCUGCUGCGUCUACUUUGAAUUUGUAAAAUGAGAACUUUGAUUUAGUCAGUUGAUUUGUAUUUGAAGCUCUUCAUACCAUGAAAUGAGAUUUCUGUUCUGUCAGUUAUUUGUAUAAGAAGCUUGUUAUACCAUUCUUGGCCUCUUCAUUCAAAUACGGAUUCUAGAUUCAUUUGACAAAGUACUAUCUUGAUCCUGGAGUUGGAGUAAGCUAUUAUCCAUUUGUAACAACAAAAUAGGAAUUAGAGAGGGCAUCUUAUCUGGGUCAAAAUAAUUCAAUACUGACUUCCUAGAUAUUACUGAAUGCAAUUCUUACUUUUGUAGUGCUUCAUUGGUCUAUUUUAGUAUGUUUUUAUAUAAUUGCAUUCACCAGUUGCCAACUAUGAAUGCAUAUUUGUAGUUAUGGUAGGAAUCACUUUUUUUUCAAAAUUUUUGAGCUCCAGUGUUUGGUGCGGGAGAACAAUUCAUUAAAAAUCUAGCUCUUAUUGACUUUUUUUUUUUUUCUGUUUAUUUGGUUUGUGUUCAUGCUGUUAAGCUUAUUGCUACUUUACAAGCUGAAAGAUUUUACUUGUUUAUCUCAAAUUGGUUUCAGUUCUAUAUUUUCCUUGUGGGUUUGGAACUUGGAUGCAUGCUCAUGUUAAAUACAUUCAUUAGCCAGUGAUGAUGCUUCACUGGUUGUACCUUUAUUAGUGGUCAAAUGUAGAAAUUAAACUUUCCACCUCAUUACCGUUUAGCACUUCGAGAUAUGUAGACAUUUUCUUUAAAAUUUAUGGUGAGCAGCCAGAGUUUUAUGGACAUGGUUAGUCAGACUCAGAACAAUAAACAAGCAAUACCUGGUAAUUGAAGUUUAAAUUGAAGCUAAUGUGGAAAAUUAUGUGGAGUGUGGCUAGGCCGAUGAUGUUUCUUCUCUUGGGUAUUGCUGAGUACACAAGCUCAUGCAUGCAAUAGCAGUCUCUGAAUUCUAAAAGUUAACUUUGACAAUGAAUAACUUGUCUUCAUUAGUGAGAGCCCGCUUCUUUUGUGAGUGUGAUGAGUCCGACAUUCAUGUAAAAUAGAUAUUGUGCAGUUAACAUAGUUGAACAAAGUUUCCUUGGAGGCGCAAUCAACUCCAUAGUGUUGUGGAGGAAGACAACAUAUGAAGAAUAAAAAAAUUUGUUUUCUUAUCAAAGAUAUGGGAUGCACUUCGGGCUGCUGCUGAAGCUGAAAUAACCUUUGCACAGGCAAUUGUUGAUAGUGCUGGUGUGAUUGUCCAGAGUGAGUAUUUGGCGUUCUGCUUUGAUGAGAGAGCUGCCAAGUAAGAGCUACCAAAGUAUGUCUUAUGUGAGCCAACCAAUUUGGUUUGGGAUAAUUGAUCAUAUAACCAAUAUGGUGCUCCAUUUAGACUGUAGAUCAUGUAAAUUAAUAUCCUUAUCCCUUCUAGUAAAAAAAAUGUGUCACCAAUCAAAGUUUAUGUACAACAUAAAUUGCUCAUGCGAGAGUUCGCUUUGUAGGUAAGCAGAAACAAUCUGCAUAUACUCAAAUAUGUUAGUGGGGCUUUCCAGGCCCGACUCAGUUUAGAAAGAAUAUGUUGCAUAACAUUCUUC
Molecule: long non-coding RNA, 2300 nt
Organism: Mangifera indica (mango)
Lineage: Eukaryota; Viridiplantae; Streptophyta; Magnoliopsida; Sapindales; Anacardiaceae
Exons: 5
Source: RefSeq, a predicted model, not a curated record